GACGAACCGUGCGAACGUUGUUCGGAAUCACUGGGCUUAAAGGGCGCGUAGGCGGGCCGCCAAGUCCGGGGUGAAAUACUCCAGCUCAACUGGAGAACAGCUUUUGAUACUGGCGGCCUCGAGUGAGGUAGGGGCAUGCGGAACAUUGGGUGGAGCGGUGAAAUGCGUUGAUAUCCAAUGGAACUCCGGUGGCGAAAGCGGCGUGCUGGACCUCAACUGACGCUGAGGCGCGAAAGCCAGGGGAGCAAACGGG
This 253-nucleotide ribosomal RNA is filed under the name uncultured bacterium. RNAcentral's name for it is "partial 16S ribosomal RNA". It matches the Rfam family "Bacterial small subunit ribosomal RNA", at positions 524 to 776 of the family's 1533-position model. The record is from RNAcentral.